GCCGAAUGAAAGUACAUUGAUAUACAUCCACAACUUUUCAUUUUCAGUCAAAAAUGUCUUUUCACUUUCUUCUCUUCUUCUUCAUAGAUUUCUACUUUCUUCUUCUGUCUUCACAGGUUCUUUUCUUCCUUCUUCAUUCUUCUUUUCUUCUUUCUUCUACCUCAGCCUUCUUCGUCACACAGUCAGUCACUAUUUUCUCUCAAUCAAAUGCAUUUCUUCAUCUGCGACACGUCGCAAGGAGCUUCGACACAGUCGACGACGUGUCGGAGACGUAUCAGUUUCCGAUACAUGUCGAAUAGUGAUACGUCGAUGCCGCCAACAUGUCCGUGCUUCUGAGUGGGUCGCAAUAAUGGGUUAGGUUGAUGGUUUUAAUGGGCUGGGUUACCGGGUAUGUUAGCUGAGUGUAGUUGGAUUGGGGUUGGUUAAUGUUGGUAAGGAAUUUGGGUUGUAUAAGUAGGUUGUUG
This 464-nucleotide long non-coding RNA is filed under the name Olea europaea subsp. europaea. The record is from RNAcentral. Lineage: Eukaryota; Viridiplantae; Streptophyta; Magnoliopsida; Lamiales; Oleaceae.